Molecule: long non-coding RNA, 400 nt
Filed under: Numida meleagris (helmeted guineafowl)
Lineage: Eukaryota; Metazoa; Chordata; Aves; Galliformes; Numididae
Description: lncRNA (ENSNMEG00000015027.1)
Source: RNAcentral
GUCAGCCCGCCCCCGGAGGCGGGGCCUUAUAGAGGCGCGGUCACGUCACCAUGGUGACCGGCUUCUGCGGGGCGGGGCGAGCUCCGAGGCGCGUGAGCGGUGUGGGACCCAGAGCUAUCGAAUUAAGUCAAUAUGCCAUCUACAAGAUGGAGUCAGUGGUGCAUGGCUGGGGGAAGAGAGACAGCAGACAUCAGCUGAAAUAGGAGAAUCUGACCAGUAACAGCAAAACAUGAGAGUAUUGCGAGGGAGAACAGAAGAACAGGAGGAGAACGGAAGGAGAAACAGAAUUAUAGAGGAGCAAUGUAUAAAUUUACCAUUUUUAAAGUCAGUCAGAAGACAAAUACUCUGGUGGAAAUCUUGCCAUGAAGAAGAGCUGAAAAUAAGCACCUGGAUGAGCUGA